AUUGAACGCUGGCGGCAGGCCUAACACAUGCAAGUCGAACGAGUGGCGGACGGGUGCGUAAUGUCUGGGAAACUGCCUGAUGGAGGGGGAUAACUCCUGGAAACGGUAGCUAAUACCGCAUACCAUCGGAUGUGCCCAGAUUGGAUUAGCUAGUAGGUGGGGUAAAGGCUCACCUAGUCGACGAUCCCUAGCUGGUCUGAGCGGAUGACCAGCCACACUGGAACUGAGACACGGUCCAGACUCAUACGGGAGGCAGCAGUGGGGAAUAUGGGACAAUGGGCGAAAGCCUGAUGCAGCCAUGCCGCGUGUAUGAAGAAGGCCUUCGGGUUGUAAAGUACUUUCAGCGGGGAGGCGUUACCCGCAGAAGAAGCAACGGCUAACUCCGUGCCAGCAGCCGCGGUAAUUC
Molecule: ribosomal RNA, 406 nt
Filed under: uncultured bacterium
Lineage: Bacteria
Description: partial 16S ribosomal RNA
Rfam family: Bacterial small subunit ribosomal RNA
Source: RNAcentral